RNAcentral lists this ribosomal RNA (253 nucleotides) under uncultured bacterium. RNAcentral describes it as "partial 16S ribosomal RNA". It matches the Rfam family "Bacterial small subunit ribosomal RNA", at positions 524 to 776 of the family's 1533-position model. The record is from RNAcentral.
UACGUAGGUGGCAAGCGUUGUCCGGAUUUACUGGGCGUAAAGAGCGCGCAGGCGGUCGUUCAAGUCGCGUGUGAAAGCCCCCGGCUCAACUGGGGAGGGUCACGCGAUACUGAUCGACUCGAAGGCAGGAGAGGGUAGUGGAAUUCCCGGUGUAGUGGUGAAAUGCGUAGAUAUCGGGAGGAACACCCAUAGCGAAGGCAGCUUGCUGGGACGUUACUGACGCUAAGGCGCGAAAGCGUGGGGAGCGAACAGG